CCUGAUGCAGCCAUGCCGCGUGUGUGAAGAAGGCCUUCGGGUUGUAAAGCACUUUCAGUAGGGAGGAAAGGGUGAGUCUUAAUACGGCUCAUCUGUGACGUUACCUACAGAAGAAGGACCGGCUAACUCCGUGCCAGCAGCCGCGGUAAUACGGAGGGUCCGAGCGUUAAUCGGAAUUACUGGGCGUAAAGCGUGCGCAGGCGGUUUGUUAAGCGAGAUGUGAAAGCCCUGGGCUCAACCUAGGAAUAGCAUUUCGAACUGGCGAACUAGAGUCUUGUAGAGGGGGGUAGAAUUCCAGGUGUAGCGGUGAAAUGCGUAGAGAUCUGGAGGAAUACCGGUGGCGAAGGCGGCCCCCUGGACAAAGACUGACGCUCAUGCACGAAAGCGUGGGGAGCAAACAGGAUUAGAUACCCUGGUAGUCCACGCCGUAAACGAUGUCGAUUUGGAGGCUGUGUCCUUGAGACGUGGCUUCCGGAGCUAACGCG
RNAcentral lists this ribosomal RNA (485 nucleotides) under uncultured Shewanella sp. Its description in RNAcentral is "bacterial SSU rRNA". It matches the Rfam family "Bacterial small subunit ribosomal RNA", at positions 382 to 859 of the family's 1533-position model. The record is from RNAcentral. Lineage: Bacteria; Pseudomonadati; Pseudomonadota; Gammaproteobacteria; Alteromonadales; Shewanellaceae.